Molecule: ribosomal RNA, 253 nt
Filed under: uncultured bacterium
Lineage: Bacteria
Description: partial 16S ribosomal RNA
Rfam family: Bacterial small subunit ribosomal RNA
Source: RNAcentral
UACGUAGGUGGCAAGCGUUACUCGGAAUCACUAGGCGUAGAGCGCAGGUAGGCGGUUUGAUAAGUCUGUUGUGAAAGCUCCCGGCUCAACUGGGAGAGGCCAACGGAAACUGUCAAGCUUGAGUGUGGUAGAGGAAACUGGAAUUCCUGGUGCAGCGGUGAAAUGCGUAGAUAUCAGGAGGAACACCUAUGGCGAAAGCAGGUUUCUGGGCCAUCACUGACGCUGAGCUGCGAAAGCUAGGGGAGCAAACAGG